Drosophila melanogaster (fruit fly) is the source of this 418-nucleotide non-coding RNA. Lineage: Eukaryota; Metazoa; Arthropoda; Insecta; Diptera; Drosophilidae. The record is from Ensembl.
GUUUGUUGUUAUAAGGAGGUGCACAAAAAUCACACAACAUAACGCAAAAUUAAAUAGCGGAAAAUGCAUUAAACAUGUAAGCACAUGUAAAACAAUCUCGCACCGAAACCACACUUACCACCCGCCAGCAUUGUCACCAAUAUAACGCCACACGACCAGAGAUCCGCCGGCUGGGCGUGAUAUGCCUUCUGUAGCACCUCGGGCGCCACAUACGGCAAGGUGCCGCAGCGUUUGUCCAGCAGUCGCUCCUUGCCCUUGCACCUGAUCCAUGGUAAUGACGUGAUUACAACCAGAUCGCAGUCGUCGUUUAUUGCGAGAAAGAAGGGAAAAGAGAGCAUAAGGAAUUGAGAAUAAGUUUUGGGCUUCUGUAAGUCGUAACACUGAGAGAAUAAUACAUGACUAUAUAAAAGUGCUAAAU